Molecule: long non-coding RNA, 508 nt
Organism: Grammomys surdaster
Lineage: Eukaryota; Metazoa; Chordata; Mammalia; Rodentia; Muridae
Exons: 2
Source: RefSeq, a predicted model, not a curated record
UCACCCAAGUUCUCAGAACACAGGUGGCUUUUAUUCUGGGAACUUUAUAGUUCCCCUGCUGGCCAAACAUCACAGUUCCUGUGUGUGGCAAAGAGAAUCUCUUGUUCUCUACUGCCAGGAAAAGCUUAUUCCCAGGAUCUCAGACAGAUGAGGCCGAACAGGCCGGAAACCAGUCAUCAGCAGAGAGAACCAGUUGGCACUUCAUUAAGGAAGGAAUGCACGGAUCAUGCCAAAUCUUGAGUCAUCAUGAUUGGAUUCCAGGCCAGAGUCCAGGAGGGGACCUGACUGACUGCAAAAUCUGACUCAAGGACCCUGAAACUAGGUGACCCAGAAAAGGCCCAGUCACCAGCGUUAAUUGGUCAAUGCAACAGCGCAGCUACCCCCUUGCUUUGUGUUCCCAUCCUAUAAAGAUGCUGUACAGCCUCCCUUCCGGGACUUGGUUCGGAUGCUGAACUGGCUGUGUCCCUGAGUGCUCAGAAAAUAAAGCUUUCGUUUUUAAGCUUCUGGA